CCGCUCUUAGCUCAGUGGUAGAGCAUCUGACUGUAGUUAUUUGGUUAUCAGAAAGUCGCCGGUUCGAUUCCAGCAGCGCGGA
This is a non-coding RNA of Tritrichomonas musculus, 82 nucleotides long. Lineage: Eukaryota; Parabasalia; Tritrichomonadida; Tritrichomonadidae. The record is from the annotation of a GenBank genome assembly.